GCAGUAGCCACGGUAAUACGAAGGGUGCAAGCGUUACUCGGAAUUACUGGGCGUAAAGCGUGCGUAGGUGGUGGUUUAAGUCCGUUGUGAAAGCCCUGGGCUCAACCUGGGAAUUGCAGUGGAUACUGGGUCACUAGAGUGUGGUAGAGGAUAGUGGAAUUUCCGGUGUAGCAGUGAAAUGCGUAGAGAUCGGAAGGAACAUCUGUGGCGAAGGCGACUAUCUGGGCCAACACUGACACUGAGGCACGAAAGCGUGGGGAGCAAACAGGAUUAGAUACCCGCGUAGUCCCUGUCUCUUAUAC
RNAcentral lists this ribosomal RNA (302 nucleotides) under uncultured bacterium. RNAcentral describes it as "partial 16S ribosomal RNA". It matches the Rfam family "Bacterial small subunit ribosomal RNA", at positions 508 to 807 of the family's 1533-position model. The record is from RNAcentral.